This 305-nucleotide ribosomal RNA is filed under the name uncultured bacterium. RNAcentral's name for it is "bacterial SSU rRNA". It matches the Rfam family "Bacterial small subunit ribosomal RNA", at positions 335 to 657 of the family's 1533-position model. The record is from RNAcentral.
UUGCCUACGGGGGGCAGCAGUGGGGAAUAUUGCACAAUGGGGGAAACCCUGAUGCAGCGACGCCGCGUGAGUGAAGAAGUAUUUCGGUAUGUAAAGCUCUAUCAGCAGGGAAGAAAGUGACGGUACCUGACUAAGAAGCCCCGGCUAACUACGUGCCAGCAGCCGCGGUAAUACGUAGGAGGCAAGCGUUAUCCGGAUUUACUGGGUGUAAAGGGAGCGUAGACGGAGGAGCAAGUCUGAAGUGAAAGCCCGCGGCUCAACUGCGGGACUGCUUUGGAAACUGUUCAUCUAGAGUGUCGGAGAGG